Molecule: non-coding RNA, 24 nt
Filed under: Dasypus novemcinctus (nine-banded armadillo)
Lineage: Eukaryota; Metazoa; Chordata; Mammalia; Cingulata; Dasypodidae
Also listed under: 11 other names
Gene: dno-miR-24b-5p
Source: miRBase by way of RNAcentral
GUGCCUACUGAGCUGAAACACAGU